Peromyscus californicus insignis is the source of this 2574-nucleotide long non-coding RNA. RefSeq lists it as uncharacterized. The record is from RefSeq and is a predicted model, not a curated record. NCBI's taxonomy places the organism in Eukaryota, Metazoa, Chordata, Mammalia, Rodentia, Cricetidae. The transcript has 3 exons.
AAGAGUUCCAGACGGUGGGGUAGUGGAAUCAGCACAGAAGGGAGGGAGAGUGGGAAGGGAGGGAAAUUUCUAGAGGUCCUGAUUUAGUCCUGGCCAACUGCUGUCACAGUACUCUGAAGCUACCCCCGCCCAGUACUUCCAUUCCGUGUCUUGGACAUUUUGAUCCAGGGGCUGUCAAAUACCAGACUCCUGCUCUAGCUGUGUGUGUCUUCAGUGUCCACACAAGUGGCAGUAGCCAGCUCUGAGUGUCCUCUCUGCAUCCAUGAGUAAGUCAAUGUGAGGUUUCAGGCAAAUCAGAUGAACACCCAUAAACUAGGGUGAUAGCCACUUCCUGUAAAGAGGAACUAAUUAGCAAUUAUAAUAACGAGAGAGUGGUCAAACUAACAGCCAUGUUUAUCUAGUAAAUCAUCUGAGGUGAGCCACCAGUGCCACCAGAGGAAUCUCCACUGGUUUACUAGGGAAAGAAAGCCACAUGCAACAAACGGGGCUCAGCAGCAAGGACUUGCUAGAGAAGGGGAGGUCUGAAAAGAGUGACAGCUUUGAAUACGAAAUGUGCUGGGAUUCCUGGGAAGGAAAUACCAAUCCCUGUGGCCUCCCGGGCACCUGCUCAGCCGGUGCCCAUGUCAUUUGGACGUCAGACCAGGCCCUCAAUUCUGCCCUGGGAUUUCUACAGUAAUAUAUGCUUUUUAUUUUUCUAAUGAUUAUUACGUUGAAGACUCUCUGGCUGCUCCUUUCUCUCUCCCAGAAAUCAAGGCACACACCUCUACAGCUGUCUUCAGAGAGUUGAUAAGCAAUGGGUGCUGUGACCCUGCCGCUCUCACAUAACUGGGUUCCCUCCUCCUCCCCUUCUGCUGCUGUGAGCGAGGCCUGCCUACCUCCAUACUGCUCGGAUCCAAGAUGGCCUGGAGUUACAGCUCGAUUUUUUCCUUGUUGUCUUUGAGACAGGGUCUCUCUGUAGUCCUGACUGUCAGGGGGCUCACUGUAGAAACCAGGAUGGCCUGAAACUCAUGGACAUGGCUUUGCUUCUGCCUCCCAAGUGCUGAGAUUUAAGGUUUGUAUCACUAUGCCCAGCUAUAGCUAGAUUUUACCAGUCUCUUCCUAACUUCUAGGAUAUAGGUGGGGUCCCAUGGUCCGGAACUUGCUCCCUUGAAAGCCGAUCAGAGCAAACAACCCUUUUGAUUUCCUAGAAAUGAAAGGUUCAACUCUCCCUUCCAGGGAGUGGUUCAAAGCUCUAAUUCUUCUAAUUUGGGGGAAACUGAGGGCAUGGAAAGCGCUUUCUCUUCAGGACCCUGGCAUGCUACUCAUGGUGGCGAUCUUGGCUAACGAAGCUCUUCCUGAGACCUGAAGACCUGCUCUCCUCCUCCAGGCCAGAAUGUUGUGACUCUGCCAAUAAAACUCAUAUGUAGGGUAAACAUAUCUCAGCUUCCCUUCUUCCUGCAUGUGGAACAAUGGUUGCUAUUCUUUCCUAUGCCUACGGUGUCCUGAUGGGUACUAACUAGUAUAACUUUAAAGGAUUGCGUUUUUUAUAACAUUAGGCUCAUCACAGUGGUUUCUUUACCCCUGUAGAACUCUUCCAGCCUUGAGCACUAAUGUUCAUAAUGAGUGCCACAGCCAGGACUACAGAGCGGCAAGGAAUGGAGGAAGGAUGGUGUGAACAUGCUACAUUCUAAGUUCCCACUCCCAUGGACCAAGCCGUACCAGCCAUCAUGCCUUCCAUGCCAUGAUGGAAACUAUGAGCCAAGAAGAAAUAUCGUCUUCUUUAUGUUGCUUCCAUCAAGAGUUUCAUCAGAGUGAUGUCAAAAGUAGCUAAUACACGUGGCCUAAUAUGGCAUUUUCUAACUGGGUGGAGACUACUUCAGAGAUCCCCAACUGGUCAAAAUGCAGACGACACAUUAUUCCUUCAGUGUUUGAGUCCAUACCAGACUAUCCUCUGAGACAAAUCCCAAAGAUCCUGUUCCCAUCUUUCCAGGUGGGAGAGAAAGAUCAAAGAGAAGACCACCAGGCAUGACCAUGUUGAGACCUCCCAGCCUCCUUACUGAUCUGGGCAGAAUUGAACACCUGUGAUGGAAGGUUCAUUUGCCAAUUUGAUUGGGUUAAGAACACCAAUGGCAUUAAGAAAGUACACUUUUGGAAGUAUUUAUGAGUGUGUUUCCAGAGAGAAUUAACUGAAGGGGGUUAGAUCAGCUUUUAAUGUGGAUGACAUCAUCUCAUGGAUUGGGGUCCUUGAAUUAAAAAGGGGAAAGCCGGCUGAGUACCAGUAUUCUUCCCUCUCCACUGGUAUACUGAGAUGUGAGCAAGCCCUGGCAUGGGUUCCUGCAGUCAUCCUACCUGCCAUCGUGCCUUCCUGGCCAUGUUGACUAACCUAACCAACCAACCAUAGCUAAGGAAGUCAUCGAUUCUAGAGGAGAGCCUAUUACUUCCGUUUCCCUAAUUUAUUCAAUAUAAUUUCUAACUGCAUUCUAAAUACCCACCCUUAUACCCACAGAUAAGUGCAGCUCUCGCUACAGUGGACUCUGUUCCCUCGAACUGUGAGCCAGAAUAAAUCCUUCCUCCCUUAAGUUGUCUCUUAUCAAA